GAAGCCGUGGCCGAGUGGUUAAGGCGAUAGACUAGAAAUCCAUUGGGGUCUCCCCGCACAGGUUCGAAUCCUGUCGACUGCG
This 82-nucleotide transfer RNA is filed under the name Ixodes scapularis (black-legged tick). It matches the Rfam family "tRNA". From Rfam's summary of the family: Transfer RNA (tRNA) molecules are approximately 80 nucleotides in length. Their secondary structure includes four short double-helical elements and three loops (D, anti-codon, and T loops). The record is from Rfam by way of RNAcentral. Lineage: Eukaryota; Metazoa; Arthropoda; Arachnida; Ixodida; Ixodidae.